GGCUCAGUAGCGUAGUGGUUAUCGCGCACUCUUCGGGCAAUCCUGUCCAUCUCUAUCAUAGGGAAACUGAGUGAGGUCCUGGGUUCAAAUCCCGGCUGAGCCC
Non-coding RNA from Annulohypoxylon truncatum, 103 nucleotides. The record is from the annotation of a RefSeq genome assembly. Lineage: Eukaryota; Fungi; Ascomycota; Sordariomycetes; Xylariales; Hypoxylaceae.